UACUAGAGUAGCACUCGCAUAUCAAUAAGCGGAGGAAAAGAAACUAACAAGGAUUCCCCUAGUAACGGCGAGUGAAGCGGGAAGAGCUCAAAUUUGAAAUCUUAAAGGGUUUCCCUUUACGAAUUGUAGUUUAAAGAAGUGUUUUCUGUUGAGGUUUUGGUAAAAGUUCUUUGGAAUAGGACAUCAUAGAGGGUGAGAAUCCCGUAUUUGACCUUUACUUUCAACUUUGUGAUACACUUUCAAAGAGUCGGAUUGUUUGGGAAUGCAGUCCAAAAUGGGUGGUAAAUUUCAUCUAAAGCUAAAUAUUGGCGAGAGACCGAUAGCGAACAAGUACCGUGAGGGAAAGAUGAAAAGAACUUUGAAAGGAGAGUUAAACAGUACGUGAAAUUGUCAAAAGGGAAGCGUUUGACACCAGUGUUGUUUUUCUGAAAAUCAAUUAAAGAACUGUUUAUGCUAAGUUGUUUAGACUUUAUCAGCUAUCUGUUUAGUUUUGAGCUUUUCUUUAAUGCACUUUUCAGUUAACAAGUCAACAUCAAUUUCUUUUGCUGUAAAAAAGCUUGAGGAAGGUGGCUUGAGAUUCGUCUUAAGUGUUUAUAGCCUCUUGCCUAUGCAGUCGGAGAGAUUGAGGUCUGCAGCGUAGAUCCUUCGGGGCUAAAUGCAUUUGUGCUAAGUUAUAGCAUUUUAUAGACAACUUGUUGACUAUGAUUUGUCUUGUAGCUUACUCGCUUAUGUUAUUUUACCUACGCUUAGGAUGUUGAGCGCAUGUCUCUCUC
RNAcentral lists this ribosomal RNA (773 nucleotides) under uncultured Neocallimastigales. RNAcentral describes it as "partial large subunit ribosomal RNA". It matches the Rfam family "Eukaryotic large subunit ribosomal RNA", at positions 20 to 637 of the family's 3401-position model. Lineage: Eukaryota; Fungi; Neocallimastigomycota; Neocallimastigomycetes; Neocallimastigales. The record is from RNAcentral.